Molecule: ribosomal RNA, 1000 nt
Filed under: uncultured bacterium
Lineage: Bacteria
Description: bacterial SSU rRNA
Rfam family: Bacterial small subunit ribosomal RNA
Source: RNAcentral
AGUGGGGAAUAUUGCACAAUGGAGGAAACUCUGAUGCAGCAACGCCGCGUGGAGGAUGACACAUUUCGGUGCGUAAACUCCUUUUAUAUGGGAAGAUAAUGACGGUACCAUAUGAAUAAGCACCGGCUAACUCCGUGCCAGCAGCCGCGGUAAUACGGAGGGUGCAAGCGUUACUCGGAAUCACUGGGCGUAAAGCGCGCGCAGGCGGCCUGAUAAGUUGGAUGUGAAAGCCUACGGCUCAACCGUAGAACUGCAUCCAAAACUGUCAGGCUAGAGUGUGGGAGAGGAAGAUGGAAUUAGUUGUGUAGGGGUAAAAUCCGUAGAGAUAACUAGGAAUACCAAAAGCGAAGGCAAUCUUCUGGAACACUACUGACGCUGAGGCGCGAAGGCGUGGGGAGCAAACAGGAUUAGAUACCCUGGUAGUCCACGCAGUAAACGAUGAAUGUUAGUCGUCGGGGGCCUAGUGUCUUCGGUGAUGCAGCUAACGCAUUAAACAUUCCGCCUGGGGAGUACGGUCGCAAGAUUAAAACUCAAAGGAAUAGACGGGGACCCGCACAAGUGGUGGAGCAUGUGGUUUAAUUCGAAGAUACGCGAAGAACCUUACCUAGCCUUGACAUAUUUUAGAACUCCGUAGAGAUACAGAGGUGCCUUCGGGAGCUAAUUUACAGGUGCUGCACGGCUGUCGUCAGCUCGUGUCGUGAGAUGUUGGGUUAAGUCCCGCAACGAGCGCAACCCUCGUCACUAGUUACUAACGGUUCGGCCGAGGACUCUAGUGAGACUGCCUUCGUAAGGAGGAGGAAGGUGAGGACGACGUCAAGUCAUCAUGGCCCUUACGGCUAGGGCAACACACGUGCUACAAUGGCCAGGACAGUGAGACGCGAUACCGCGAGGUGGAGCAAAUCUAUAAACCUGGUCUCAGUUCGGAUUGUAGUCUGCAACUCGACUACAUGAAGCUGGAAUCACUAGUAAUCGUAGAUCAGCUAUGCUACGGUGAAUACGU